CUGUAAGCCUGUGAAGGUGUGCUGUGAGGCAUGCUGGAGGUAUCAGAAGUGCGAAUGCUGACAUAAGUAACGAUAAAGCGGGUGAAAAGCCCGCUCGCCGGAAGACCAAGGGUUCCUGUCCAACGUUAAUCGGGGCAGGGUGAGUCGACCCCUAAGGCGAGGCCGAAAGGCGUAGUCGAUGGGAAACAGGUUAAUAUUCCUGUACUUGGUGUUACUGCGAAGGGGGGACGGAGAAGGCUAUGUUGGCCGGGCGACGGUUGUCCCGGUUUAAGCGUGUAGGCUGGUUUUCCAGGCAAAUCCGGAAAAUCAAGGCUGAGGCGUGAUGACGAGGCACUACGGUGCUGAAGCAACAAAUGCCCUGCUUCCAGGAAAAGCCUCUAAGCAUCAGGUAACAUCAAAUCGUACCCCAAACCGACACAGGUGGUCAGGUAGAGAAUACCAAGGCGCUUGAGAGAACUCGGGUGAAGGAACUAGGCAAAAUGGUGCCGUAACU
Molecule: ribosomal RNA, 493 nt
Filed under: Escherichia coli
Lineage: Bacteria; Pseudomonadati; Pseudomonadota; Gammaproteobacteria; Enterobacterales; Enterobacteriaceae
Description: partial 23S ribosomal RNA
Rfam family: Bacterial large subunit ribosomal RNA
Source: RNAcentral